AUUGAACGCUGGCGGCAGGCUUAACACAUGCAAGUCGAGCGGGGUGAUGGUGCUUGCACUAUCACUUAGCGGCGGACGGGUGAGUAAUGCUUAGGAAUCUGCCUAUUAGUGGGGGACAACAUCUCGAAAGGGAUGCUAAUACCGCAUACGUCCUACGGGAGAAAGCAGGGGAUCACUUGUGACCUUGCGCUAAUAGACGAGCCUAAGUCGGAUUAGCUAGUUGGUGGGGUAAAGGCCUACCAAGGCGACGAUCUGUAGCGGGUCUGAGAGGAUGAUCCGCCACACUGGGACUGAGACACGGCCCAGACUCCUACGGGAGGCAGCAGUGGGGAAUAUUGGACAAUGGGGGGAACCCUGAUCCAGCCAUGCCGCGUGUGUGAAGAAGGCCUUAUGGUUGUAAAGCACUUUAAGCGAGGAGGAGGCUCUUUUGGUUAAUACCCAAGAUGAGUGGACGUUACUCGCAGAAUAAGCACCGGCUAACUCUGUGCCAGCCGCCGCAGUAA
RNAcentral lists this ribosomal RNA (503 nucleotides) under uncultured bacterium. RNAcentral describes it as "partial 16S ribosomal RNA". It matches the Rfam family "Bacterial small subunit ribosomal RNA", at positions 30 to 523 of the family's 1533-position model. The record is from RNAcentral.